AUAGAUUGGUAAUCAUCAACUGCUUGAUGAGCCAAAUGAUCAGCUAACACACUUCCUUUGAUUGCUUUCUGGGUAGUAUACUGGAUAUCAUACUCUGUUAAAAUCAUCUGCCAUCUUGCUAUUCUUCCGGAGAGGGCAGGUUUCUCAAAUAUGUAUUUGAUAGGAUCCAUCUUAGAAAUCAAUAAAGUGGUAUGAUUCAACAUAUACUGUCUUAGUCGGCGAGCAGCCCAGGCCAAAGCACAGCAAGUUCUCUCGAGCAGUGAGUAUCUUGUUUCAC
Molecule: long non-coding RNA, 277 nt
Filed under: Lathyrus oleraceus (garden pea)
Lineage: Eukaryota; Viridiplantae; Streptophyta; Magnoliopsida; Fabales; Fabaceae
Description: Pisum sativum (pea) long non-coding RNA (PSAT_LNC001530)
Source: RNAcentral